RNAcentral lists this ribosomal RNA (468 nucleotides) under uncultured organism. RNAcentral describes it as "bacterial SSU rRNA". It matches the Rfam family "Bacterial small subunit ribosomal RNA", at positions 453 to 916 of the family's 1533-position model. The record is from RNAcentral.
GUAUAGUUAAUGAUACCCCCCCUGACGGUACCUUUGGAGGAAGCACUGGCUAACUACGUGCAGCAGCCGCGGUAAUACGUAGAGUGCAAGCGUUGUCCGGAAUUAUUGGGCGUAAAGGGUACGCAGGCGGAUAAUCAAGUCAAGCGUGAAAGGUGUCGGCUGAACCGACAGACUGCGUUUGAAACUGGUUAUCUUGAGUGUAACAGAGGAGAGUGGAAUUCCUAGUGUAGUGGUGAAAUACGUAGAUAUUAUGAAGAACACCAGUGGCGAAGGCGACUCUCUGGGUUAACACUGACGCUGAGGUACGAAAGCUGGGGGAGCGAACGGGAUUAGAUACCCCGGUAGUCCCAGCCGUAAACGAUGGAUACUAGGUGUUGGAGGUUCGAAUCCUUCAGUGCCGGAGUUAACGCAUUAAGUAUCCCGCCUGGGGAUUACGAUCGCAAGAUUGAAACUCAAAGGAAUUGACGG